AAUGAACGCUGGCGGCAGGCCUAACACAUGCAAGUCGAACGGACCCUUCGGGAUUAGUGGCGGACGGGUGAGUAACGCGUGGGUACAUACCCUUUGGUACGGAAUAGCCUCGGGAAACUGGGAGUAAUACCGUAUGUGGUCGAGAGACGAAAGAUUUAUCGCCAAAGGAUUGGCCCGCGUUGGAUUAGGUAGUUGGUGGGGUAAUGGCCUACCAAGCCGACGAUCCAUAGCUGGUUUGAGAGGAUGAUCAGCCACACUGGGACUGAGACACGGCCCAGACUCCUACGGGAGGCAGCAGUGGGGAAUCUUAGACAAUGGGGGAAACCCUGAUCUAGCCAUGUCGCGUGAUCGAUGAAGGCCUUAGGGUUGUAAAGAUCUUUCAGAUGGGAAGAUAAUGACUGUACCACCAGAAGAAGCCCCGGCUAACUCCGUGCCAGCCGCCGCAGUAA
Molecule: ribosomal RNA, 449 nt
Filed under: uncultured bacterium
Lineage: Bacteria
Description: partial 16S ribosomal RNA
Rfam family: Bacterial small subunit ribosomal RNA
Source: RNAcentral